GGCUAUGGCUGUACCACCCUGAACGUGCCCGAGCUCGUCUGAUCCCGGAAGCUAAGCAGGGUCAGGCCGGAUUAGUACUUGGAUGGGAGACCUCCAGGGAGUACCGGGUGCUGCAGGCC
RNAcentral lists this ribosomal RNA (119 nucleotides) under Saimiri boliviensis boliviensis (Bolivian squirrel monkey). The record is from RNAcentral. Lineage: Eukaryota; Metazoa; Chordata; Mammalia; Primates; Cebidae.